AAGAUGCAUCUCGUGCCAAUGCUUAUUUUGAUCAAGCUGUUAAAUUUGACCCUCAUGAUUGUUAUGUAGUGGCAUCAUAUGCUAGGUUCCUGUGGGAUGCUGAAGAGACUGAGGAGGAAUUGAAGUAAAAGAGCUAAGUGGAAUUAUAGUAUGCACGGAUUCCUACCUCGUGAAGAUGGAGAAGUUGUUUUCGAAAGAUACUUAAAAACUAGUCACUCGUCAAAUUAAAUGAACACUUUAAGUUUAAAAAAAUCACAAUUCGAAAGGCAAUAAUGCACGAGAUCGAAUAAAUAU
Solanum tuberosum (potato) is the source of this 294-nucleotide long non-coding RNA. RefSeq lists it as uncharacterized. The transcript is spliced from 2 exons. The record is from RefSeq and is a predicted model, not a curated record. NCBI's taxonomy places the organism in Eukaryota, Viridiplantae, Streptophyta, Magnoliopsida, Solanales, Solanaceae.